ACCUGGGUGGCUCAGUUGGUUGAGUGUCUGACUUUGACUCAGGUCAUGAUCUCACAGCUUGUGGGUUCAAGACCCACAUCGGGCU
RNAcentral lists this transfer RNA (85 nucleotides) under Felis catus (domestic cat). It matches the Rfam family "tRNA". Rfam says of the family: Transfer RNA (tRNA) molecules are approximately 80 nucleotides in length. Their secondary structure includes four short double-helical elements and three loops (D, anti-codon, and T loops). RNAcentral also lists the same sequence under 1 other name. The record is from Rfam by way of RNAcentral. Lineage: Eukaryota; Metazoa; Chordata; Mammalia; Carnivora; Felidae.